This is a long non-coding RNA of Gossypium raimondii (Peruvian cotton), 1924 nucleotides long. RefSeq lists it as uncharacterized. The transcript has 3 exons. The record is from RefSeq and is a predicted model, not a curated record. NCBI's taxonomy places the organism in Eukaryota, Viridiplantae, Streptophyta, Magnoliopsida, Malvales, Malvaceae.
CCCAAUUUUUUUUUUUAAAUUAGUACUCAUGAAUUGUUAGAUUUUAUCAUUAGCAAGUAUCUGUUCCAGUGAUUAAAGGCUUUAAUUAUGUGUUUAAGGUUUUGGGUUCAAAUCUCAAAUCUAAUUAUUUUUGUUCCUAGGUUUACCUUUGUUCGUUGGGUUUCAUUAUUAUUUUCGAUCAAUUUGCAUCAGAAUGAGUCUGCUGGUUUAGUGGUAGAGUGUUAGUUUAUCUCAUGGUCCUGAGUUCGAAUGUCUAUGGGAGCAUUUGGGCAAUAUUGUUGUUUUUUUCGUUUGAGCCGACUCUGUUGUGUUUAAUGUUUAAUCAAAUUCAAUUUUUGGGAGAAUCUGAUAGUUAUUAGGUUGUUGGGCUAUUGGAUAUUAUUUUUAUUUUGUUUUUUUUGUAAAAUCUAGUAAAAAUAAUUUUGAAAUUAUUUUCCCCUUCCGAUUAUUCAUGUUCCCAGUUUUGUUUCCCUACUUCCCCAUCUUUGCUUCACAUUUUUUUCCCAGUGAAGAUAUUGAGAAAAACCAGUUUUUGUUCUUUUGCUUUUUGGUGCUUUUGCUGCUUGUGACUUUCUUUCUUUUUUCCAACGUUUUCAAUUUAUCUUGAUUCUUUGUGUUUGUUGAUUUCAAAUCGUAAAGGUAAGGGUUCUCUUGAUAUUUUUUUCUGUUAUUCGAGUUGUGUUAGGGUUUUGGGGAAAAGGUGAUUUCGAUAGAGUGGUGUUAAUUUGUAUGACACAUUCUAAUUUAAUCGAUUCAUUUUAGGAGAAGAACGUGUGUUGCCUGGCGAUUUUCUAACAAGUUGACUCGGGUGUUGCUGUGCGUGCUAGGGUUCUUGUAGUGUCAAGGGUGUUUCGCAUCAAAAUCGAACCAAGUGUAUAACGAGAAACUCGAAAAACAACGGAUAAAACAAAGCCGAAAAACAACAUUGUUGAUGCCACACGGUCGUGCGCCAGGCCGUGUGUAACACAUGACCGUGUGGACCACACGGGCGUGUGUGAGGUCGUGUGCUAGUCCUUGUGGGCCACAUGGGCGUGUGUGAGGCUGUGUGGGCCUAAAAUUCUAAAAUUUUCUCCAGAGCCGUACACGUCAUUUCAAUCGACCGUUGGCCUUUCGUAAGGUAAUCCUCAGACUUAGGUUGGUCGUUGCGAUGGGAGCUCGAUUAUUUUUAGAUCUUACACUUAUUUUAAAUGUUUGGAAUUUUGGUUUUUUGUAAAUUUUGGACUUUUUGGACUAUUUUGGUUUGUUUUUGAGGUUUUUAUUUUCUUUUUGCUUAAAAUGUCGUUUAAAAGUUUUGUCGGUAAAAUUAUUUUUCUACAAAAGUAACAGAUUUCAAGCAAUAGGGAGAGCAUUAACAAAAAUUCAACAUUUUAAGAGUUUUCCACUGUAAAAUUAUGAGUAUUUUUAUAAAGCGAACAACACUUUUUAAAUAAUUCAAAAUUUUAAGAAUUCAAAACGGAUUCCAAAAUUAUGUGAGAACUGAAUUUUCAAGCAAUUUAUGUAACACUUCUUGAUUUGCUCGUAACAUCUAGGCCAGAUUUGGGGUGUUACAUAUUUACCCUUGAAAGCUAUGAAAGAAAGAAAUUCUAUUAUGCGAGAACCUCUUUUUGUCAGCUCUUCAAACUAUGUGACUGGAAAGCUCAGAUGAGAGCUUUUAUCUUGUUUGUUGAUAAAUUUGCUUGGAAAAAUGUUGAGGAAUGGUGGACCAAGCCUAAAGUGAUAGGUGCUGAUGGGGCAACAAAGCCGAAAGAAAUAAAUCAAUAUACUAUUGAAGGUAAAAAUGAUACUCGAACAAACUUAAAAGCCCUUUAUGUUAUCUUUAGUAGGGUUGACAUGGACCAGUUCAAGAUGAUUUCAACUUAUAAAAGGAAUAAAUAAGUAUAAACAAUCUUACAAAAUCAAUAUGAAGGGAAUGUUGCUUUCAGAA